GCGGGCGUGGCGGAAUUGGCAGACGCGCUGGAUUUAGGUUCCAGUGGGGGCAACCCCGUGGAGGUUCGAGUCCUCUCGCCCGCA
Molecule: transfer RNA, 84 nt
Filed under: Phycisphaerae bacterium
Lineage: Bacteria; Pseudomonadati; Planctomycetota; Phycisphaerae
Also listed under: 1 other name
Description: tRNA-Leu
Rfam family: tRNA
About the family: Transfer RNA (tRNA) molecules are approximately 80 nucleotides in length. Their secondary structure includes four short double-helical elements and three loops (D, anti-codon, and T loops). Further hydrogen bonds mediate the characteristic L-shaped molecular structure. tRNAs have two regions of fundamental functional importance: the anti-codon, which is responsible for specific mRNA codon recognition, and the 3' end, to which the tRNAs corresponding amino acid is attached (by aminoacyl-tRNA synthetases). tRNAs cope with the degeneracy of the genetic code in two manners: having more than one tRNA (with a specific anti-codon) for a particular amino acid; and 'wobble' base-pairing, i.e. permitting non-standard base-pairing at the 3rd anti-codon position.
Source: RNAcentral